UUAUCCUAAACCUAACCCUAACCCUAAUGAAAACCCUAGCCCUAACCCUGAACCUAAACCUGACCAUAACCGUAAUCCUAACCCUAGACCUAACCUAAACCAAACCCUCACCCUAGGAUUAACCCUAGCUCAAAACCUAACCUUUACCCUAAACCUAACACUAACCCAAACCCUAAGCCUAACUCUAGACCUAAUCUUAACAAUAACCUUAGCUCUAACCCUAACCCUAACUCUAAUACUGACCCUCGCCCUAGCCCUCAACUUAGCUAUAACCCACUCCCUUACCCUACAUGUAACACUAACUCUAACCCUAACCUGAGGUCUAAACCUUACAAUAACCCUAGCCCUAAUUUAGCCCUAUCCCUAAACAUAACCCUAGCCCUAGCCCUAUGACUAACUCUCACACCAGCCUAUCACUAGUUCUAACAUAUCCCUUACCAUAACGCUAACCCUGGCCCUAACCCUAGUCCUAACCCUUGCCCUAUCCUUAGUCCUAGCCCUAACCAUAGAUCAAAUCUUAACUCUAAAUCUAACCCUAACCCAAAGCCUAAGC
This 553-nucleotide long non-coding RNA is filed under the name Marmota monax (woodchuck). The record is from RNAcentral. Lineage: Eukaryota; Metazoa; Chordata; Mammalia; Rodentia; Sciuridae.